CCUACGGGAGGCAGCAGUGAGGAAUAUUGGUCAAUGGACGAGAGUCUGAACCAGCCAAGUAGCGUGAAGGAUGACUGCCCUAUGGGUUGUAAACUUCUUUUAUAUGGGAAUAAAACGUUCCACGUGUGGGAUUUUGUAUGUACCAUAUGAAUACGGAUCGGCUAACUCCGUGCCAGCAGCCGCGGUAAUACGGAGGAUCCGAGCGUUAUCCGGAUUUAUUGGGUUUAAAGGGAGCGUAGGUGGAUUGUUAAGUCAGUUGUGAAAGUUUGCGGCUCAACCGUAAAAUUGCAGUUGAAACUGGCAGUCUUGAGUACAGUAGAGGUGGGCGGAAUUCGUGGUGUAGCGGUGAAAUGCUUAGAUAUCACGAAGAACUCCGAUUGCGAAGGCAGUUCACUGGACUGCAACUGACACUGAGGCUCGAAAGUGUGGGUAUCAAACAGGAUUAGAUACCCUUGUAGUC
Molecule: ribosomal RNA, 460 nt
Filed under: uncultured bacterium
Lineage: Bacteria
Description: partial 16S ribosomal RNA
Rfam family: Bacterial small subunit ribosomal RNA
Source: RNAcentral